GGAAACGUAGCCUUUCCAGAUAACGCCAUCUUUGCCAAGAACGAUAACUCUAAUCUAUUGCAGAACUUGUUCAGAGUCGGCCAUGUUGACUUCAUAUGGCUCGGAGUAAAUAAAUUUCAACAGUUAUAUUGGGAUGCUUUAUGAGGUGUAAAUAAACUUUCCCGGAUAAUCAAGAUUUCACUGAUUACCUAGCCAGAGACUGUGUGUAAAUAUUCUUUCGCUUGUUUGUUUAUUCCUGUACAUACCCCUUGUUGGAAAACUCAAGGAUUCAUCUUUGGUUUUUCUUCAUUGAUGAUUUUUCCUAAAGACAUUGAAAAAAAAAAGAAAAGAAAAGAAAAAAGACAAAAAAAAAAGAUUUAUUCAGUUGAGCUUUUAAGGUGCAGUAUUGGCUGGAUGGUUGUGAGAAGGACGAUGAUGUUUAUGAAUUAACAGAACAGGAAUUUUAUACAGAUUUGAAGGACGGAAAUUUGUUUAUCCUUAACAGUACACAGUUGGAUCAUUGCUACACAAAUUCUUGAAAAAGACUAUAAGGUUUUACAAUUUUAUGUGGAAAGGCUAGGAAACGUGCAGAUUUUAGACGAAGUGUGCAUUUGGUUAUAGGAAUUUCUUUUACCGCUUUUGGCCAUUUACCAUCUUAACUUGUUUUGUUAUAUAUAGCACUGGAUAACACAUGCAAGUUGGAUAAAAACGAUAUUAAAGAGGAUCCAACCAGCUAUUCUCAAGAAAAUGCUGUUUUAGUUUUUCUUUUGUCUAUUUUUGUAAAUUUAAAUAAAAAUUAUGUUGAUUUUA
This is a long non-coding RNA of Saccostrea cuccullata (small rock oyster), 789 nucleotides long. RefSeq lists it as uncharacterized. The transcript has 8 exons. The record is from RefSeq and is a predicted model, not a curated record. NCBI's taxonomy places the organism in Eukaryota, Metazoa, Mollusca, Bivalvia, Ostreida, Ostreidae.